GUAAGCUACUAAGAGCAAAUGGUGGAUGCCUUGCCUAGUAGAGGCGAUGAAGGACGUGCCAGGCUGCGAUAAGUCUCGGGGAGCUGUCAAGGAGCUUUGAUCCGGGAAUUUCCGAAUGGGGCAACCCAAAUGAUAGUAAUAUCAUUUACCCAAUGUGGAGCGAACUAGGGGAACUGAAACAUCUAAGUACCCUAAGGAAAAGAAAUCAAUAGAGAUUACGCUAGUAGCGGCGAGCGAACGCGUAAGAGGGCAAACCACUAGCUUGCUAGUGGGGUUGUAGGACUGCAAUAUAGACUAAACUUAGCUAAUAGAAUAGGCUGGAAAGCCUGAGCAUAGAGGGUGAUACUCCCGUAUAUGAAAGCUUCGUUUUACUUAGCAGGAUCCUGAGUAGGACGGGACACGUGAAAUCCUGUUUGAAGCUGGGUAGACCACUAUCCAACCCUAAAUACUACUACUAGAGCGAUAGCGAACAAGUACCGUGAGGGAAAGGUGAAAAGAACGGCGGUGAGCCGAGUGAAAUAGAACCUGAAACCAUUUGCUUACAAUCAUUCAGAGCACUAUGAUUUAUCAGUGUGAUGGACUGCCUUUUGCAUAAUGAGCCUGCGAGUUGUGGUAUCUGGCAAGGUUAAGCAAACCCGGAGCCGUAGCGAAAGCGAGUCUUAAUAGGGCGUUAAGUCAGAUGCUGCAGACCCGAAACGAUGUGAUCUAUCCAUAGAGCAGGUUGAAACCGGUGUAAGAGCCGGUGGAGGACCGAACAGACGGCUGUUGAAAAAGCUCCUGAUGACUUGUGGAUAGGGGUGAAAGGCCAAUCAAACAUCGUGAUAGCUGGUUCUCUCCGAAAUAUAUUGAGGUAUAGCGUUGUGUCGUAAUACUAAGGGGUAGAGCACUGAAUGGGCUAGGGCAUACACCAAUGUACCAAACCCUAUCAAACUCCGAAUACUUAGUAUGUAAUCACAGCAGUCAGGCGGCGAGUGAUAAAAUCCGUCGUCAAGAGGGGAACAACCCAGACUAACAGCUAAGGUCCCAAAAUCUCAUUUAAGUGGAAAACGAUGUGAAGUUACUGAAACAACCAGGAGGUUGGCUUAGAAGCAGCCAUCCUUUAAAGAAAGCGUAAUAGCUCACUGGUCUAGUGAUUUUGCGCGGAAAAUAUAACGGGGCUAAAAUGAGUACCGAAGCUUUAGGCUUGCAUACAACUUAGAUUAUAUAAAUUAACUUUUAUUUAUGGUUAAAUUUUAAAAUUUAUAAAGUUAGAAAUUUGAAAAUUUUAAUAAUAGUAUUUUUUAAAAAUAUUUUAAAAAAUAUUCUUAUUUUAAAAUUUUGCUAAAUAAUCUAAGUUGUGUGCAAGCGGUAGGAGAGCGUUCUAUUUAGCGUUGAAGAUGUACCGGUAAGGAGCGUUGGAGCAAAUAGAAGUGAGCAUGCAGGCAUGAGUAGCGAUAAAAGGGGUGAGAAUCCCCUUCGCCGUAAACCCAAGGUUUCCUACGCGAUGCUCGUCAUCGUAGGGUUAGUCGGGUCCUAAGCAAAGUCCGAAAGGGGUAUGCGAUGGAAAAUCGGUUAAUAUUCCGAUACCAAUUAUUGUGUGCGAUGGAAGGACGCUUAAAGUUAGUGGAGCUAGCGGAUGGAAGUGCUAGUCUAAGGAAGUAGGUUAAGUGGUAGGCAAAUCCGCCAUUUUUUAUCCGAGAUCUUAAAGGCUUAUGACGCUCUUCGGAGUAGAUUAAGAAUCCAUAAUACUAUCGAGCCAAGAAAAGUUUCUAAGUUUAGCAAUAAUUGCCCGUACCGUAAACCGACACAGGUGGGUGGGAUGAGUAUUCUAAGGCGCGUGGAAGAACUCUCUUUAAGGAACUCUGCAAAAUAGCACCGUAUCUUCGGUAUAAGGUGUGCCUAACUUUGUUAGUGGAUUUACUCCACAAAGCAUUGAAGGUUACAACAAAGAGUCCCUCCCGACUGUUUACCAUAAACACAGCACUCUGCUAACUCGUAAGAGGAUGUAUAGGGUGUGACGCCUGCCCGGUGCUCGAAGGUUAAUUGAUGAUGUCAGCUCUGCGAAGCAUUUGAUCGAAGCCCGAGUAAACGGCGGCCGUAACUAUAACGGUCCUAAGGUAGCGAAAUUCCUUGUCGGUUAAAUACCGACCUGCAUGAAUGGCGUAACGAGAUGGGAGCUGUCUCAAAGAGGGAUCCAGUGAAAUUGUAGUGGAGGUGAAAAUUCCUCCUACCCGCGGCAAGACGGAGAGACCCCGUGGACCUUUACUAUAGCUUGACACUGCUACUUGGAUAAGAAUGUGCAGGAUAGGUGGGAGGCUUUGAGGCUAGGACGCCAGUUCUAGUGGAGCCAUUGUUGAGAUACCACUCUUUCUUAUUUGGGUAGCUAACUAGCUUGCGUUAUCCGCAAGUAGGACAAUGUCUGGUGGGUAGUUUGACUGGGGCGGUCGCCUCCCAAAAUGUAACGGAGGCUUACAAAGGUUGGCUCAUUGCGGUUGGAAAUCGCAAGUUGUGUAUAAAGGCAUAAGCCAGCUUAACUGCGAGGCAUACAGGCCAAGCAGGGACGAAAGUCGGUCUUAGUGAUCCGGUGGUUCUGUGUGGAAGGGCCAUCGCUCAAAGGAUAAAAGGUACCCCGGGGAUAACAGGCUGAUCUCCCCCAAGAGCUCACAUCGACGGGGAGGUUUGGCACCUCGAUGUCGGCUCAUCGCAUCCUGGGGCUGGAGCAGGUCCCAAGGGUAUGGCUGUUCGCCAUUUAAAGCGGUACGCGAGCUGGGUUCAGAACGUCGUGAGACAGUUCGGUCCCUAUCUGCCGUGGGCGUAAGAAGAUUGAGGAGAGUUGACUCUAGUACGAGAGGACCGAGUUGAACGAACCACUGGUGUAUCUGUUGUUCUGCCAAGAGCAUCGCAGAGUAGCUAAGUUCGGAUGUGAUAAGAGCUGAAAGCAUCUAAGCUCGAAGCCAACUCCAAGAUGAAUCUUCUUUUAAGAGCUCGGAAAGACUAUCCGUUUGAUAGGCUGGGUGUGUAAGUGGUGAAAGCCAUUUAGCUGACCAGUACUAAUAGCUCGUUUGCUUAUCUUU
This 3053-nucleotide ribosomal RNA is filed under the name Candidatus Campylobacter infans. Its description in RNAcentral is "Campylobacter sp. CGEMS 23S ribosomal RNA". It matches the Rfam family "Bacterial large subunit ribosomal RNA". The record is from RNAcentral. Lineage: Bacteria; Pseudomonadati; Campylobacterota; Epsilonproteobacteria; Campylobacterales; Campylobacteraceae.